Molecule: ribosomal RNA, 253 nt
Filed under: uncultured bacterium
Lineage: Bacteria
Description: partial 16S ribosomal RNA
Rfam family: Bacterial small subunit ribosomal RNA
Source: RNAcentral
UACGUAGGGGGCAAGCGUUGUCCGGAAUCAUUGGGCGUAAAGAGCGUGUAGGCGGCUCGAUAAGUCCGCUCUGAAAGCCCGGGGCUCAACCCCGGGAGGCGGGCGGAUACUGUCGAGCUAGAGUCCGGAAGAGGCGACUGGAAUUCCUGGUGUAGCGGUGAAAUGCGCAGAUAUCAGGAGGAACACCGGUGGCGAAGGCGGGUCUCCGGGCCGAUACUGACGCUGAGGAGCGAAAGCGUGGGGAGCGAACAGG